RNAcentral lists this ribosomal RNA (880 nucleotides) under uncultured bacterium. Its description in RNAcentral is "bacterial SSU rRNA". It matches the Rfam family "Bacterial small subunit ribosomal RNA", at positions 11 to 891 of the family's 1533-position model. The record is from RNAcentral.
GUUUGAUCAUGGCUCAGGAUGAACGCUAGCGGGAGGCUUAAUACAUGCAAGUCGAGGGAGAAUUUGUCUUCGGACAGAGGAAACCGGCGCACGGGUGAGUAACACGUACACAACUUACCCCUAACUGGGGAAUAGCCCUGGGAAACUGGGAUUAAUACCCCAUAAUAUUGACGCGUCUCAUGAAAUGUCAAUUAAAGUUCCGACGGUUAGGGAUGGGUGUGCGUCUGAUUAGCUAGUUGGUAGGGUAACGGCCUACCAAGGCGACGAUCAGUAGGGGGCGUGAGAGCGUGGUCCCCCACACGGGUACUGAGACACGGACCCGACUCCUACGGGAGGCAGCAGUAAGGAACAUUGGACAAUGGAGGCAACUCUGAUCCAGCCAUCCCGCGUGUAGGAAGAAGGCCCUAUGGGUUGUAAACUACUUUUGUCAGGGAAUAAACCUCUCGAUUCACUCGGGAGCUGAAGGUACCUGAAGAAUAAGCACCGGCUAACUCCGUGCCAGCAGCCGCGGUAAUACGGAGGGUGCAAGCGUUAUCCGGAAUCACUGGGUUUAAAGGGUGCGUAGGUGGCAUCGUAAGUCAGAAGUGAAAGUUUGCGGCUUAACCGUAAAAUUGCUUUUGAUACUGCAAUGCUUGAAUCAGGUUGAGGUUGGCGGAAUGUGGCAUGUAGCGGUGAAAUGCUUAGAUAUGCCAUAGAACACCGAUUGCGAAGGCAGCUGACUGGACCUGUAUUGACGCUGAGGCACGAAAGCGUGGGGGAGCGAACAGGAUUAGAUACCCUGGUAGUCCACGCCCUAAACGAUGCUCACUCGAUGUGUGACCAUUAGGUCGCGCAUCCAAGCGAAAGCGUUAAGUGAGCCACCUGGGGAGUACGUUCGCAA